AUUGAACGCUGGCGGCAGGCCUAACACAUGCAAGUCGAGCGGAUGAAGGGAGCUUGCUCCUGGAUUCAGCGGCGGACGGGUGAGUAAUGCCUAGGAAUCUGCCUGGUAGUGGGUGAUAACGUCCGGAAACGGGCGCUAAUACUGCAUACGUCCUGAUGGAGAAAGUGGGGGAUCUUCGGACCUCACGCUAUCAGAUGAGCCUAGGUCGGAUUAGCUAGUUGGUGGGGUAAAGGCCUACCAAGGCGACGAUCCGUAACUGGUCUGAGUGGAUGAUCAGUCACACUGGAACUGAGCCACGGUCCAGACUCCUACGGGAGGCAGCAGUGGGGAAUAUUGGACAAUGGGCGAAAGCCUGAUCCAGCCAUGCCGCGUGUGUGAAGAAGGUCUUCGGAUUGUAAAGCACUUUAAGUUGGGAGGAAGGGCAGUAAGUUAAUACCUUGCUGUUUUGACGUUACCAACAGAAUAAGCACCGGCUAACUUCGUG
Molecule: ribosomal RNA, 484 nt
Filed under: uncultured bacterium
Lineage: Bacteria
Description: partial 16S ribosomal RNA
Rfam family: Bacterial small subunit ribosomal RNA
Source: RNAcentral